This 492-nucleotide ribosomal RNA is filed under the name uncultured bacterium. RNAcentral describes it as "partial 16S ribosomal RNA". It matches the Rfam family "Bacterial small subunit ribosomal RNA", at positions 29 to 507 of the family's 1533-position model. The record is from RNAcentral.
AGUGAACGCUGGCGGUAGGCCUAACACAUGCAAGUCGAACGGCAGCACAGUAAGAGCUUGCUCUUACGGGUGGCGAGUGGCGUACGGGUGAGGAAUACAUCGGAAUCUACUUUUUCGUGGGGGCUAACGUAGGUGAACUUACGCUAAUACCGCAUACGACCUACGGUUGAAAGCAGGGGAUCUUCGGACCUUGCGCGAUUGAAUGAGCCGAUGUCGGAUUAGUUAGUUGGCGGGGUAAAGGCCCACCAAGGCGACGAUCCGUAGCUGGUCUGAGAGGAUGAUCAGCCACACUGGAACUGAGACACGGUCCAGACUCCUAAGGGAGGCAGCAGUGGGGAAUAUUGGACAAUGGGCGCAAGCCUGAUCCAGCCAUACCGCGUGGGUGAAGAAGGCCUUCGGGUUGUAAAGCCCUUUUGUUGGGAAAGAAAAGCAGCAGGUUAAUACCCCGCUGUUCUGACGGUACCCAAAGAAUAAGCACCGGCUAACUUCGUG